AGUGAACGCUGGCGGUAGGCCUAACACAUGCAAGUCGAACGGCAGCAUGGGAGAGCUUGCUCUCUGGGUGGCGAGUGGCGGACGGGUGAGGAAUACAUCGGAAUCUACCUUUUCGUGGGGGAUAACGUAGGGAAACUUACGCUAAUACCGCAUACGACCUACGGGUGAAAGUGGGGGACCGCAAGGCCUCACGCGAUUAG
This 200-nucleotide ribosomal RNA is filed under the name uncultured bacterium. Its description in RNAcentral is "partial 16S ribosomal RNA". It matches the Rfam family "Bacterial small subunit ribosomal RNA", at positions 29 to 224 of the family's 1533-position model. The record is from RNAcentral.